CGCCUGCGGGGAAGACAGCCCUCAAGACCCGCCCCAAAGGGCAGUUCCCACGAGUUGGCUUCUGGGCGGUCCUUCACCAGGUGACUUCUCACUUUUCAAGCCCUACUGCUGUGAGUCCUGUUCCUGUGCCGGCGUCCGUACCUCUGAGGGUCUGCCGCUCACCUGGAGAGCUGGUAAGAAGCCCAACAGGUCGCCCUCCCUGUGGCUGCGAGAGCCUCCGCCCCGCGCAGCCUGGGUACACAGCCUCUCCUGUAUGCUGCAGAGGACGGUGGCAGCGCCAUGGAGGACCCUGGGAGCUCAGCGCAGGAUCCUGGGAGUGCCACGCAGCUGCUAGGGGGCGCCUGCUGAGAGGACUUCUGCUGGGAGCUGCAGCUGGGUGUCAUCCUCCAGGAAAAGUGACAUUGCCCUAGCCAGGUGAAGAUCCUUGAAGACCAUGAACAAGAAAAGAAUCUCUGUGAUUGGGUGGAGCCUGUUGGCUCUGUUUUGUCAAUGGCUGCCUGGAUGAAGUCUUGGAAAACCUGUUUGCUUUGAAAGGACUGAUGACAUUGGAGAGCUCUGGAGGUAUCAGAAGAUAGAAAUAAUCUGGAGAGGAAGGAAGGAUGAGAAACAAAAUCACAUACAUUAGAAUGCACAUAAGGAUUAGAAAAUGUAGAGUGGUUCCUUCUGAUAUCUCUUAAAGGUAAGUG
Long non-coding RNA from Marmota monax (woodchuck), 686 nucleotides. RefSeq lists it as uncharacterized. The transcript has 3 exons. The record is from RefSeq and is a predicted model, not a curated record. NCBI's taxonomy places the organism in Eukaryota, Metazoa, Chordata, Mammalia, Rodentia, Sciuridae.